Molecule: RNA transcript, 2660 nt
Organism: Dendronephthya gigantea
Lineage: Eukaryota; Metazoa; Cnidaria; Anthozoa; Malacalcyonacea; Nephtheidae
Exons: 6
Source: RefSeq, a predicted model, not a curated record
GCGAAUAUCUUCUAUUUGUGCUUGUUUUGCCCUGUUUAUGAUCAAUUUUUCCUCACUUAUAAACUACGUAUCUUCACCUAUAUUUGCGAAACCAAAGAUCCGAACAUGUAGACUUUAGAUAGCACUACGAAAACAAGAGGAUAAAACCAUGUUCAAAAAGCCACACAUACACCUAUAGCAUGCAGGACAUCUGCCUAUACAAAGCAAGAUUAUGCAAUAUAACAGCUAUAAAUGGAAACUAAUAAUUGACUUAUGGUAGAAAAAGGGGGAAAAAGAGCAACUUCUUUGAUAUCAUCAUUCAUCGAAAGAAUGGCUUCCUGGGAGAGUCGAAAUAUAUUUACAACAAUCAGCAUCGUAAGACACGCUUGAUGAAAAGCCCGAACCGAAUAAAAACUCACAUCGGUGAAUGAAUCUCGAACGUUGUUGUUAAGAAGUUCCUCCUUUGCAAGGCUUGUGGCCCGAUCCUCGUUGAUUGCAAUUAACAACUCCUCUAGUUCGUUCUGGAUAACAGAAGAAUUAUAUAUUUAAGAUAACAGGCUAAUAGAACUGAUCGAGAAUUUCAUCGAACCAAGUUCAGAAACCAAUGUGGUCAUCGCCACUUUCACUACAGCCUGCAUGUGCGUUUGUGUGGUACCUUGCAAAAUGUAAUGUCAAAGACAAAGACAGGUUAAAUUUCAAGCUAGCAUAUCGUGCACAAUGACCCAACAAGGUGAGCACGACACACAGCAGCUUAUAAUAUCAGACAAAAGCAUGAGGGAAAGGCUGCAUUAAUUGGCACCGACCAAGCAACUAAUCAAAACUGGUUUGUUUGCUCGUGCAUAGGCCUUUAGUUGUCUCAGGCUCGGUGCCAACUGUUAAAUAUUCUUUUUAAAAGAUGUGGUGCCUCUUGAGGAAGCGUUUUCUUUUUAUUCCUAAUCUUGUAAAUAAUUUGUAGAGGAUCGCGGGUGCUGGAGGUCAGAUGGUAAGGAUGCGGUCUGUGGUCCGGGUUUGGAAGUUUCAUGGGAAGUUUUGGAUAAAACAUAGUAGGCAGCACAUAAUUUUCGUAACAUUUGCGCACUUGUCAUUGUGCUAAUACUAUAGUUUAAUUUGUAUACACCGCGAGAAUUAGUGCAAGCAAGGUAUAUAUAUUUCAUAUAAUAUACUCGCUAAUCCCGUUAAGCAAAGCUGAUUUGCCUGAAGGUAGCGCUAAAAUAAGGAACAUGCAUUGUUUGAUUUCCCACUUUAAUACGGAAAUAGAUUUUUUAUCUCUUUUAUCGAUUUAGAAGAACUAACUUUUGUUGUGAUAUUCAACAUUUGAAUUUAGGUGAAGUAGCUAUAUAAACAACAUCUAGUCUAAAUAUAUUUCGAUUGUUUAAGGUGAUUAUGACCAAUUCCAAAAAAGACUGAAGACCUGUGUAUCGAUGUAUAUCGAUACUGUAUACUCUGAAACUUUAUACAUUACUCUGUACACCCAAGUUCGGACAAAGUCAGUAAAGGGAAUGGUGAAGUCAUGGUCCCAGAUGGUUAAACAAUUGUUCGAAAAGCUGGACAGUAUUCAACACACUUUGAACAACAUUCUUAAAAAAUCUUCGACACAAUCUGCUCCUUUGUCAUGGGAUCACACUUUCACCCCUCCGAACAAAAAAAAACGAAAUUGGAUGACGAGAACAGUAUGGAGCUCAACAAAAUAUCUCCGAAAUCCUCAAGCAGUCAAAAAGCAAGAUCAUGCAUGCAUUGUUACGUGUCAACUAUAUAGUUCCAUGCAAGACCUAAAUUCUCCAAUCCAAGUUUAAGAUGACAUAGAUGAUGAAAAAUUUGUAAGAAACCACCACUUACAAUGUGUUUACCUGGCUAUACCGGAUUCGCGUGGUCACGAUAUCAAAACUAUUCCAUGUCAGGGGUUUUACCCCUAUAGUAUGAUAGCAUGAUUGCUUUAACAUAACCUGCAAAAUGAAAAAGUUCUGGUGAUCACAGAAAACCCCUACCGUAAAACAACUAAAUUCAUGUCUUGACCACGUGAAUCCGGUAUAUAGUGUAAACUAGAACGUUAUCGUUUUUUUGGUUCAUGGCCGUACUUUAUUACCAAAUUAUUUACUGCAUGGCUUGCAGAUAAGAAAAGUUGUAAACCCAGCUAGUCUAUAAAAGACAUUUCUUUUAAUGCAUCGGAAUACAAGCGGAAUAAAUCUGUUGACGGAUGUUCCUGCGAAGUCAAAGAAGCCGAAUUUAUAUGCAACACAGCUGCUUUCGAUCCUGUUCACCAAGGAAGAGAUUAGAAAUGGAUGUGUUGAACCAAGAGACGGGAAAGGGAAGGAAAAAGUCCCGAACCAGGAAAAAAUAAAUUUAAUAAAAAGUAAGUUGAAUUUUUCAAUUAUUACUAACUGUUGACAAAUUAUUGUAUCGUUUUUAACACAUCAUUAAUCGUAAUGCAUAUUUACAUCAAAGCAGUAUACCUGAAAAAGGCAGCGUUAGAAGAGAAUGAUGCAUGAUAAGCAGGAAGAUCAUAAACAGCCAGUCACCGUGCGGUGUCAGAUAGCGAACAUAAUGUUUUAAUCAUAGACAUAGUGGAUUUGAUGUAAAUCGGAUAUCAGAUGAAUUGUUAAAGGCCGGAUUAAGGAUACCACCUAACAGCUAUUUUACUUAUCUCUUUUUAUACAUAUGCUUCAAAUGUACAACAAUAAUUA